GACGAACGUUGGCGGCGUGCUUAACACAUGCAAGUCGAACGGAAAGGCCCUGCUUUUGUGGGGUGCUCGAGUGGCGAACGGGUGAGUAACACGUGAGUAACCUGCCCUUGACUUUGGGAUAACUUCAGGAAACUGGGGCUAAUACCGGAUAGGAGCUCCUGCUGCAUGGUGGGGGUUGGAAAGUUUCGGCGGUUGGGGAUGGACUCGCGGCUUAUCAGCUUGUUGGUGGGGUAGUGGCUUACCAAGGCUUUGACGGGUAGCCGGCCUGAGAGGGUGACCGGCCACAUUGGGACUGAGAUACGGCCCAGACUCCUACGGGAGGCAGCAGUGGGGAAUAUUGCACAGUGGGCGGAAGCCUGAUGCAGCAACGCCGCGUGCGGGAUGACGGCCUUCGGGUUGUAAACCGCUUUCGCCUGUGACGAAGCGUGAGUGACGGUAAUGGGUAAAGAAGCACCGGCUAACUACGUGCCAGCAGCCGCGGUGAUACGUAGGGUGCGAGCGUUGUCCGGAUUUAUUGGGCGUAAAGGGCUCGUAGGUGGUUGAUCGCGUCGGAAGUGUAAUCUUGGGGCUUAACCCUGAGCGUGCUUUCGAUACGGGUUGACUUGAGGAAGGUAGGGGAGAAUGGAAUUCCUGGUGGAGCGGUGGAAUGCGCAGAUAUCAGGAGGAACACCAGUGGCGAAGGCGGUUCUCUGGGCCUUUCCUGACGCUGAGGAGCGAAAGCGUGGGGAGCGAACAGGCUUAGAUACCCUGGUAGUCCACGCUGUAAACGGUGGGUACUAGGUGUGGGGUCCAUUCCACGGGUUCCGUGCCGUAGCUAACGCUUUAAGUACCCCGCCUGGGGAGUACGGCCGCAAGGCUAAAACUCAAAGGAAUUGACGGGGCCCCGCACAAGCGGCGGAGCAUGCGGAUUAAUUCGAUGCAACGCGUAGAACCUUACCUGGGUUUGACAUGGAUCGGGAGUGCUCAGAGAUGGGUGUGCCUCUUUUGGGGUCGGUUCACAGGUGGUGCAUGCCUGUCGUCAGCUCGUGUCGUGAGAUGUUGGGUUAAGUCCCGCAACGAGCGCAACCCUUGUUCACUGUUGCCAGCACGUUAUGGUGGGGACUCAGUGGAGACCGCCGGGGUCAACUCGGAGGAAGGUGGGGAUGACGUCAAGUCAUCAUGCCCCUUAUGUCCAGGGCUUCACGCAUGCUACAAUGGCUGGUACAGAGAGUGGCGAGCCUGUGAGGGUGAGCGAAUCUCGGAAAGCCGGUCUCAGUUCGGAUUGGGGUCUGCAACUCGACCUCAUGAAGUCGGAGUCGCUAGUAAUCGCAGAUCAGCAACGCUGCGGUGAAUACGUUCCCGGG
Molecule: ribosomal RNA, 1343 nt
Filed under: uncultured bacterium
Lineage: Bacteria
Description: 16S ribosomal RNA
Rfam family: Bacterial small subunit ribosomal RNA
Source: RNAcentral